Molecule: long non-coding RNA, 766 nt
Filed under: Monodelphis domestica (gray short-tailed opossum)
Lineage: Eukaryota; Metazoa; Chordata; Mammalia; Didelphimorphia; Didelphidae
Description: lncRNA (ENSMODG00000041576.1)
Source: RNAcentral
CCUUUUUCGUACUUUUUGUUUUUGUCCUUUUCUUUUUAAGAGGAGGUUCAUCCAGAUGCCUUCUCCUGACCCAGCUUACUCACUGGAAAAUAGGAUGGAGCAAACAGAAUUAGGAUUUAACCCCAUUCAAGGUGCAGAAGAAUUCGAAGGAGAUGCUACAACUGGGCCAUAUAGCAAAUCAUCUAGACAACAUGUGGAAGGUUGGCUACCCUUUGGAGCUUGAUACAUAGAAUAAUUUCAGGAGAGGAGACUCACUAACUCCCCAAGUUGAGAAAGUGAACUGUUUGGAGAAGGCACCAUAAAGAAGCCUACAAAAACCAUACACUGCAUCAAGUGAUCCAGAGUGAAAGUUGGGAUGUAAUGAAUUGAACUGAAAGGGGUUGAACACACUUAUUUUGAUUGUAAACUUUUAUGCCAGAGGAGAUUGCCCCCCUAAUUAUCUUUUUGUCAAUGAGCCUACCAAUCAUUGGUUUUGUUCUCUUUCUCUUUUAUUUCUCUCAUAUCUCCGAUUAUUGUAAUUUUCUCUUAGAUAGUACAAUAUUUUAUGUAUCUGAGGUUAUUUAAAAUAAUUCAUUGUGGAGAUUAGGUAUGUAAAUCUGGGAGAUUUCAACAGACUCAUCUCCCAAUAGAAUCACAGGGUGGAUUGGAUAGAUAGAAAACCACUCCCUAAAUUUGUCCUACCCUGCAUCCUAUUUUAUGUGUGUACUUUGCGUGAUGGCUGGGGAACAGGAAUAAAAAGAUAUGGUGUGUGAGGAGAGGUCUCUUU